AGGAGCCUCUGAAAACAUGUCGAAUUUCGCCUACAUUGUCUGAUGUUACUAUGAUAAAACUAGUUGUAUCCGAGGCUUUU
Molecule: non-coding RNA, 80 nt
Organism: Beta vulgaris subsp. vulgaris (sugar beet)
Lineage: Eukaryota; Viridiplantae; Streptophyta; Magnoliopsida; Caryophyllales; Amaranthaceae
Source: Rfam